GCUCUAUGCGGGUGUGUAUGUGCGUGUGUGUGUGCGUAUUUGUUUGUGUGUGUGUCUAGUCCGUAUGUGUCCUUAUCGAUUUUCAGCGAAAUUUCACAGGCUCACGGCGCACGUCAGUGCCAAGCGAAGAUUCACUUGUCGCGCUGAGUUCGUUCGUGUCGUGUUUCGCACAGCACAGCAGCAGCGAGUAACAGAGUACCAGAGUACCGUUAUGUAAAGCGAUUUUCAGUUGAAAGUACACAUACAAUAAGUGAAACGCUGCUGUGAGCAAAACUAAACUAAGCUAAGCGCCACUCUCACGCACACCAACAUUCCAUAAUUUGUUAUAAAUUAAUUGGUUCAAGCAGCAUUGUGAUAAACGCAGCGAACGUGCAAGAAAAACGCGCUAAGAAAUCUACUUCACAAUACUUAACAAAAAGCUAAUCGAAACACGCUGUGCCCAACUGUGCCGUAACACGGGACAUUGAAAAUACGAAGAAGAAGCAGAAGCGAACGAAAAAAAAACGUUCCAGGUAGCAGGCGAAGGAGACAUGAAAAGCGAAGGCGCAAGCGAAGACGAACGAAAAUGUAAUAGAGGUCAAAAGAAGCAUUGAUUUAACGUGCACUUUCUUCUUCUGUUCCAUUUUCUUCAUAUGAUUCGCUUGCGGUUUCUGUGCGUGUGUAUGUGUGUGUGAAAGAGUCAAAUUGUGUUGCGUAAAGAAUUAGUUUAACAUUUAACGAACGCUAAACGGUUCAUUCAAUAAAAGCACGCACGCACACGGUGAAUCUCUGGCUAAACUGAGCACCAGUGGCAUAUAACACAGUUCAAUAUAACAGUAAAGACCAAGCAUAAUUACAUAAUCAAAUAGUAAAAAAAAUAGAAAAAAAAAAACGAAACGAAACGAAAACAAACGA
Long non-coding RNA from Drosophila mojavensis, 894 nucleotides. RefSeq lists it as uncharacterized. The transcript has 2 exons. The record is from RefSeq and is a predicted model, not a curated record. NCBI's taxonomy places the organism in Eukaryota, Metazoa, Arthropoda, Insecta, Diptera, Drosophilidae.